UGACAGUGGCGCAAGGGUGAGUAACACGUGAGUAAUCUGCCCGAAGUCGGGAUAGCCAGGGGGGGUGGAUUAAUACCGGAUGUGGCUGUAUGAACUGCGGUUUUAACAGUUAAAGAUUCAUUGCUUCGGGAUGAGCUCGCGGUCCAUCAGCUUGUUGGUGAGGUAAUGGCUCACCAAGGCGACGACGGAUAGCUGGUCUGAGAGGAUGACCAGUCACACUGGGACUGAGACACUGCCCAGACUCCUACGGGAGGCUGCAGUCGAGAAUCUUCCGCAAUGGGCGCAAGCCUGACGGAGCAAUGCUGCGUGCCGGAUGAAGGCCUUCGGGUCGUAAACGGCUGUCACUCGGGACGAAUUUUGACGGUACCGAGAGAGGAAGCCACGGCUAACUACGUGCCAGCAGCCGCGGUAAUACGUAGGUGGCGAGCGUUAUUCGGAAUUAUUGGGCCUAGAGGGUUCGUAGGGGGUAAUGUGAGUCCGGUGUGAAAUCUCGAGGCUCAACCUCGAAACUGCAUUGGAAACUGCGUAACUUGAGUGUCAGAGAGGAAAGCGGAAUUCCUGGUGUAGCGGUGGAAUGCGUAGAUAUCAGGAAGAACACCGACGGGGAAGGCAGCUUUCUGGCUGACAACUGACCCUGAUGAACGAGAGCUAGGGUAGCGAACAGGAUUAGAUACCCUGGUAAUCCUAGCUUGUAAACGUUGUGCACUGGAUGUGGG
RNAcentral lists this ribosomal RNA (716 nucleotides) under uncultured organism. RNAcentral's name for it is "bacterial SSU rRNA". It matches the Rfam family "Bacterial small subunit ribosomal RNA", at positions 90 to 826 of the family's 1533-position model. The record is from RNAcentral.